GACGAACGCUGGCGGCGUGCUUAACACAUGCAAGUCGAACGGAAAGGCCCUGCUUUUGUGGGGUGCUCGAGCGGCGAACGGGUGAGUAACACGUGAGUAACCUGCCCUUGACUUUGGGAUAACUUCAGGAAACUGGGGCUAAUACCGGAUAGGAGCUCCUGCUGCAUGGUGGGGGUUGGAAAGUUUCGGCGGUUGGGGAUGGACUCGCGGCUUAUCAGCUUGUUGGUGGGGUAGUGGCUUACCAAGGCUUUGACGGGUAGCCGGCCUGAGAGGGUGACCGGCCACAUUGGGACUGAGAUACGGCCCAGACUCCUACGGGAGGCAGCAGGGGGGAAUAUUGCACAAUGGGCGGAAGCCUGAUGCAGCAACGCCGCGUGCGGGAUGACGGCCUUCGGGUUGUAAACCGCUUUCGCCUGUGACGAAGCGUGAGUGACGGUAAUGGGUAAAGAAGCACCGGCUAACUACGUG
Molecule: ribosomal RNA, 468 nt
Filed under: uncultured bacterium
Lineage: Bacteria
Description: partial 16S ribosomal RNA
Rfam family: Bacterial small subunit ribosomal RNA
Source: RNAcentral